AUACGUAGGGUGCAAGCGUUAAUCGGAAUUACUGGGCGUAAAGCGUGCGCAGGCGGUUUUGUAAGACAGUGGUGAAAUCCCCGGGCUCAACCUGGGAACUGCCAUUGUGACUGCAAGGCUGGAGUGCGGCCGAGGGGGAUGGAAUUCCGCGUGUAGCAGUGAAAUGCGUAGAUAUGCGGAGGAACACCGAUGGCGAAGGCAAUCCCCUGGGCCUGCACUGACGCUCAUGCACGAAAGCGUGGGGAGCAAACAGGAUUAGAUACCCUGGUAGUCCACGCCCUAAACGAUGUCAACUGGUUGUUGGGGAUUUAUUUUCUCAGUAACGAAGCUAACGCGUGAAGUUGACCGCCUGGGGAGUACGGCCGCAAGGUUAAAACUCAAAGGAAUUGACGGGG
RNAcentral lists this ribosomal RNA (395 nucleotides) under uncultured bacterium. Its description in RNAcentral is "partial 16S ribosomal RNA". It matches the Rfam family "Bacterial small subunit ribosomal RNA", at positions 523 to 918 of the family's 1533-position model. The record is from RNAcentral.